This 383-nucleotide long non-coding RNA is filed under the name Hordeum vulgare. RNAcentral's name for it is "long non-coding RNA (HVUL_LNC013705)". Lineage: Eukaryota; Viridiplantae; Streptophyta; Magnoliopsida; Poales; Poaceae. The record is from RNAcentral.
GUAAGAAGAUCCGUUGGUUGGAAAUCCGUAUCAAUUGUUACUGGUUCUCCCGUUCUUGGUACUGUGUCAUCGCCUAUGGAAUCUAUUGGCUCGGCUGAACCGACAUGAAAUGAAAGAGAGGAAGGCGGAAGCUAUUGGCAAAUAGAGGGGGGAUGUUCUCCGUGUCUUUUAGCCCUCACUAGAUGACAACUUGGGGAGCAUGAUCUGCAAGCAAUUACUCUGGAUGCUGAUCCUGCAGAGCAGACACCUCCAGCUGUUCAAGAACUGCUACAGGAGUUUGAUGCUUUGUUCUGGGAGCCAAAGGAAUUACCCCCUCGUCGGGGCUGCCCCCUCUUCCCCUCGCUCUCCUUUCCUUAAUAUUCACCGUCGAGUCAUCAAAGCGG